GUGGACAUAGCUCAGUUAGUAGAGCACUUGCCUAGCAUGCACGAGGCUCUGGGUUUGAUACCCAGCACA
This 69-nucleotide transfer RNA is filed under the name Fukomys damarensis (Damara mole-rat). It matches the Rfam family "tRNA". From Rfam's summary of the family: Transfer RNA (tRNA) molecules are approximately 80 nucleotides in length. Their secondary structure includes four short double-helical elements and three loops (D, anti-codon, and T loops). Lineage: Eukaryota; Metazoa; Chordata; Mammalia; Rodentia; Bathyergidae. The record is from Rfam by way of RNAcentral.